Taeniopygia guttata (zebra finch) is the source of this 549-nucleotide non-coding RNA. The record is from RefSeq and is a predicted model, not a curated record. NCBI's taxonomy places the organism in Eukaryota, Metazoa, Chordata, Aves, Passeriformes, Estrildidae.
UGUUCUUAUCAGAACAGGCACUUGAAGACAUUAUCUGCUAAUGAUAAGACUCAUGUAACACAGGUGUCUUCUCCCUUCAGGCUGUUGCACAACUAAUGAUCACUGAUAUGGGAUUAAAGCAGUUUUGGAUCAUCCAGCAGGACCACUGGAAAGAAGCCAUGCCUGUACCUCACCAGUCGUUGCCAGCUGUUCAAGACUGAGCUGAUGGAUGCAGGGUAUCAUCCUGAAAGAAGGCGCACACAGGAGCUUGUGGUGGAAAUAAACCCAUGCAGGUGUCAGAAGCCAGACACUGAGACCAAAGCAAGCUUCUGAACAAAGUGUGAGGUACAAAGCUUGUUCUCCCAAAAAAUGAGACACCCUUUCUCUGUCCUACUGAGAAUCCACUGCCAGAAAUGGAAUGAAUAUGCUCUUCCACCUGAGGAGAUCCCAUGGAUUUAUUUUUCCCUAGCAAAAAGAAUCUUUGUGCUCCUUAUUCCCAGUCAUAUGGUCAAAUUAAUGUGUAUGUCUUUUUCUGCUUCACACUAAACUCUGCUUUCUAAACUUUGCAAA